Oryza nivara is the source of this 188-nucleotide non-coding RNA. The record is from Rfam. Lineage: Eukaryota; Viridiplantae; Streptophyta; Magnoliopsida; Poales; Poaceae.
AAAAAGACAAACUCUGGUUUCCGUGCCCAAUAUUUGACCGUUCAUCUUAUUUGAAAAAAAUAUAAAAAAAAGAUUAAAAAGACAAUCAUGUUUUAUUAUCUAACAAUAAUAAAAAUACGAAUUAUAAAAAAAUUUCAUAUAAGAUGGACAGUCAAAAUUAGACACACAAAUCCAGGGUUUGCCUUAUU